Molecule: small nuclear RNA, 107 nt
Organism: Phyllostomus hastatus (greater spear-nosed bat)
Lineage: Eukaryota; Metazoa; Chordata; Mammalia; Chiroptera; Phyllostomidae
Source: RefSeq, a predicted model, not a curated record
AUGCUCGCUUUGGCAGCACACACACUAAAAUUGGAACGAUAUGGAGAAGAUUAGCAUGGCCCCUGUGCAGGAGUGAUACACAAAUUCAUGAAGCAAUCCAUAUUUUU